UACGAAGGGGCUAGCGUUGCUCGGAAUCACUGGGCGUAAAGCGCACGUAGGCGGAUCUUUAAGUCAGAGGUGAAAUCCCAAGGCUCAACCUUGGAACUGCCUUUGAUACUGGGGAUCUUGAGUCCGGGAGAGGUGAGUGGAACUGCGAGUGUAGAGGUGAAAUUCGUAGAUAUUCGCAAGAACACCAGUGGCGAAGGCGGCUCACUGGCCCGGUACUGACGCUGAGGUGCGAAAGCGUGGGGAGCAAACAGGGAU
RNAcentral lists this ribosomal RNA (255 nucleotides) under uncultured bacterium. RNAcentral's name for it is "partial 16S ribosomal RNA". It matches the Rfam family "Bacterial small subunit ribosomal RNA", at positions 524 to 779 of the family's 1533-position model. The record is from RNAcentral.